This 755-nucleotide non-coding RNA is filed under the name Bosmina fatalis. Lineage: Eukaryota; Metazoa; Arthropoda; Branchiopoda; Diplostraca; Bosminidae. The record is from RNAcentral.
UAAAAGUUUGAAUCUAGCUUUUCCUUUGUUUAGAGUUAGAUUUAUAAAUUAAUCAAAAAAACUAAAAGAUCUUAGAAGUAGUAAAUAAUGUUAAGUAACAUAAUCAAUGGACUUAGUUAAACUCUUUAGAAUUGGUGGAAUUUGUGCCAGCUACCGCGGUUACACAAAUAAUUCUAAUGAAGAAGAUUAUUAAAAUUAAUUAAAUUUUUUUACUUAAAUGGAAUUAAUUUUUUAUUUUAAGGGUUAAAUCUAUAGAAUAAAAAUGGAUUUUCAUCUAUGUAAAGUAAUGAAUUAAAAACGUUAGAUCAAAAAUCAGGAUUAGAUACCCUGGUAUUCUAACCACUAAAAAUAAGGGUAGUAAAAGUUGUUCUUCAAACCCAAAGAUUUUGGCGGUAUUCUAGCCAGACAGAGGAGCUUGUUUUUUAAUUGAUGAUCCCCACUAUAUCUUACUUUUCUUAUUUAGUUUGUAUACCGCCGUUGUCAGAUUACCUUUAAAGAGUGUUUUCUUAAAAAAUAGUUUUUAAACUUCAGGUCAAGGUGCAGCUUAUAGAAAAGUUUUAAUGAGCUACAAUUAAUUUUAUUAAUACGGAUUGUUUUUGAAAUAGAGACAUGAAGGCGGAUUUGUAAGUAAAUCAGUUUAAUGAUCACUGGUUGAAUAAAGGCAAUAGAAUAUGUACAUAUCGCCCGUCACUCUCUUCUUAAGAGGAGAUAAGUCGUAACAUAGUAGAUGUACUGGAAAGUGUAUCUUGAAAGAA